This 428-nucleotide ribosomal RNA is filed under the name uncultured bacterium. RNAcentral describes it as "partial 16S ribosomal RNA". It matches the Rfam family "Bacterial small subunit ribosomal RNA", at positions 354 to 796 of the family's 1533-position model. The record is from RNAcentral.
GUGGGGAAUAUUGGGCAAUGGGCGCAAGCCUGACCCAGCAACGCCGCGUGAAGGAAGAAGGCUUUCGGGUUGUAAACUUCUUUGACAGGGGACGAAACAAAUGACGGUACCUGGUGAAUAAGCCACGGCUAACUACGUGCCAGCAGCCGCGGUAAUACGUAGGUGGCGAGCGUUAUCCGGAUUUAUUGGGUGUAAAGGGCGUGUAGGCGGGACAGCAAGUCAGAUGUGAAAACCAGAGGCUCAACCUCUGGCCUGCAUUUGAAACUGUUGUUCUUGAGUGUCGGAGAGGUAAUCGGAAUUCCGUGUGUAGCGGUGAAAUGCGUAGAUAUACGGAGGAAAACCAGUGGCGAAGGCGGAUUACUGGACGAUAACUGACGCUGAGGCGCGAAAGCGUGGGGAGUAAACAGGAUUAGAUACCCGGGUAGUCC